This is a small nuclear RNA of Neomonachus schauinslandi (Hawaiian monk seal), 107 nucleotides long. The record is from RefSeq and is a predicted model, not a curated record. Lineage: Eukaryota; Metazoa; Chordata; Mammalia; Carnivora; Phocidae.
GUGCUUGCUUCGGCAGCACGUACACUAAAAUUGGAAUGAUACAGAGAAGAUUAGCAUGGUCCCUGCACAAGGAUGACACACAAAUUUGUGAAGCAUUCCAUAUUUAA